Molecule: long non-coding RNA, 1361 nt
Organism: Sus scrofa (pig)
Lineage: Eukaryota; Metazoa; Chordata; Mammalia; Artiodactyla; Suidae
Source: RefSeq, a predicted model, not a curated record
AGUAACUUCUCAGUUCUAGGAAAAUUUAUAGCUUUGGAGCUAGUUUGGGGAUAGAAGCAUUCAUUUCUCCAUCAGACUACCAGUCACUAGAACAAAGACAUGUUCCCCUGAUACCAUUGGUCCUUUCCCCCAUCUCACGCCCCCACCAGCCAAGAACACUCCCUAAGAAAUUUCUUUUCCUGUGCUCUUUUAUUCACCACAAGUGAAUUUUCAUCCCAAGACACACAAGAGCACACCAGGAAAUCUCCUGGUCCUGCAUUGCAACACGUGUAUGUGUCCACUUCCUUCCCCGAAUUUUAAAAUAAUCCCUUCCACCUUUAUUCCUCAUCUUUGACCAACAAAGUGAGAGACACAGCCAACUCCCUUCUCCACAGAGCAUGACUCAUGCCUUUCAUGGCUGGGAACUUACCCGGAACAGACACAGAAUGUGAUAGAUCUUACAGAUGAUUUUUUAUAAGUACAUGAGUGGUCUCCACACAAGUUAGGAAAGUUGCUGGAAAUCUGAGGAGGUUUUCAGGAUACCUGAAAGCCAGAGUCCACUUAGCCAUUGUUUGAAGAAAACAAUUUCAGGCAUUUCAAAGGAAGAGAUCUCUCAGACAACUGGCUGUUCCUGCUUCAAACCAGCUCCCAUCCUCCCCACCCACCACCCCAUCAGAGGGCCAUUAGAAUGCUGUUGGAAAUGGUGGUGGUUUUUCAGCAAAUACCAGGUUCUCCCACUUCAAAGAACAGUCAGCAGAGCGCAACUUUCCACUUAGAGUAGAAGCCUCCAUUCUUCAACCCUGGGAGAAACAACAGCAUUCUCUAUAACCCAAGUUGGGAAACUAGAAGCAAAUUGUCAAUGGACCUAGAACACCCAUCUUCCACUUCUUAGUCCUUCUCUGAACAAGGAGAAGAGUUGUAAUUACAGUUUUCAGACGUGAUAUGAAAACUUAGUCAGCAUGGAGACGCUGCUGUCAAGCUGGGCUGCCAUUUGAGCUCGAGAGGAAGGAAAUCCUUGGAAAGCUAAGCCACUGAAAUCUGGCAUGUGUUUUGCACUCACAGUACCUCUCAAUUUGGAGCAACCAAGUUUCAAUUGCUCACCAGUCACAUGUGACGAAUGGCUCCAUACUGAAGAGUUCAAUCUAGUAGCCCCUGCAGCUCCAGAUUGUAUUUUUAGAUGCAAGAAGAAAGAAGCAUAGUGGUUGAGAACUGCUUCUGGCACCCUAGGGUUAGAGGUGGUCGAGCUCUCUGUUUAUUAUGCUUUGUUUGUCUAAUUAUGAGAGAAGUGUAUGUCCAUUUCUAUAAAAAUCAACAAUGCAUAAUGUAAAAGUUUCUGUACAGCAAAGGAAACCCUAAACAAAACAAAAAGACAAUCCACAGAA